RNAcentral lists this ribosomal RNA (408 nucleotides) under Actinomycetes bacterium. RNAcentral's name for it is "Actinobacteria bacterium partial 16S ribosomal RNA". It matches the Rfam family "Bacterial small subunit ribosomal RNA", at positions 355 to 775 of the family's 1533-position model. Lineage: Bacteria; Bacillati; Actinomycetota; Actinomycetes. The record is from RNAcentral.
UGGGGAAUAUUGCACAAUGGGCGGAAGCCUGAUGCAGCGACGCCGCGUGGGGGAUGAAGGCCUUCGGGUUGUAAACUCCUUUCGACAGGGACGAAGCUUUUGUGACGGUACCUGUAUAAGAAGCACCGGCUAACUACGUGCCAGCAGCCGCGGUAAUACGUAGGGUGCGAGCGUUGUCCGGAAUUACUGGGCGUAAAGAGCUCGUAGGUGGUUUGUCGCGUCGUCUGUGAAAUUCCGGGGCUUAACUCCGGGCGUGCAGGCGAUACGGGCUGACUUGAGUGCUGUAGGGGAGACUGGAAUUCCUGGUGUAGCGGUGAAAUGCGCAGAUAUCAGGAGGAACACCGAUGGCGAAGGCAGGUCUCUGGGCAGUAACUGACGCUGAGGAGCGAAAGCAUGGGUAGCGAACAG